Molecule: ribosomal RNA, 492 nt
Filed under: uncultured bacterium
Lineage: Bacteria
Description: partial 16S ribosomal RNA
Rfam family: Bacterial small subunit ribosomal RNA
Source: RNAcentral
AGUGAACGCUGGCGGUAGGCCUAACACAUGCAAGUCGAACGGAAGCACAGUAAGAGCUUGCUCUUACGGGUGGCGAGUGGCGGACGGGUGAGGAAUACAUCGGCAUCUACUUUUUCGUGGGGGAUAACGUAGGGAAACUUACGCUAAUACCGCAUACGACCUACGGGUGAAAGCAGGGGAUCUUCGCACCUUGCGCGACUGAAUGAGACGAUGUCGGAUUAGCUUGUUGGCGGGGUAAAGGCCCACCAAAGCGACGAUCCGUAGCUGGUCUGAGAGGAUGAACCGCCACACUGGAACUGAGACACGGUCCAGACUCCUACGGGAGGCAGCAGUGGGGAAUAUUGGACAAUGGGCGCAAGCCUGAACCAGCCAUACCGCGUGGGGGGAGAAGGCCUUCGGGUUGUAAAGCCCUUUUGUUGGGAAAGAAAAACAGCAGGUUAAUACCCCGCUGUUCUGACGGUACCCAAAGAAUAAGCACCGGCUAACUUCGUG